GGCGAUUGGGCGUUUGAUCAUGGCUCAGAGCGAACGCUGGCGGCAGGCUUAACACAUGCAAGUCGAACGGGCGUAGCAAUACGUCAGUGGCAGACGGGUGAGUAACGCGUGGGAACGUACCUUUUGGUUCGGAACAACACAGGGAAACUUGUGCUAAUACCGGAUAAGCCCUUACGGGGAAAGAUUUAUCGCCGAAAGAUCGGCCCGCGUCUGAUUAGCUUGUUGGUGAGGUAACGGCUCACCAAGGCGACGAUCAGUAGCUGGUCUGAGAGGACGAUCAGCCACACUGGGACUGAGACACGGCCCAGACUCCUACGGGAGGCAGCAGUAGGGAAUCUUGCGCAAUGGGCGAAAGCCUGACGCAGCGACGCCGCGUGAGGGAAGAAGGCCUUCGGGUUGUAAACCUCUUUCAGGAGGGACGAAGCCACUCGGGUUAAUAGCCCAGAGGGUGACGGUACCUCCAGAAGAAGCCCCGGCUAACUACGUGCCAGCAGCCGCGGUAA
RNAcentral lists this ribosomal RNA (503 nucleotides) under uncultured bacterium. RNAcentral's name for it is "bacterial SSU rRNA". It matches the Rfam family "Bacterial small subunit ribosomal RNA", at positions 1 to 523 of the family's 1533-position model. The record is from RNAcentral.